UGUUAAAAAUUUAAUUUAUUUUUACUGUUAAAAACUAGUGUGGCUAUUAAAAUAACCAGAUUACAUGUGGCGUGCCACAUGUACCUUAUGCUAACGUACAGGGACCAAUUUUUAAUUGUAAAAAUGGAUAGAAUUUUUAAUA
Molecule: non-coding RNA, 142 nt
Organism: Gossypium raimondii (Peruvian cotton)
Lineage: Eukaryota; Viridiplantae; Streptophyta; Magnoliopsida; Malvales; Malvaceae
Source: Rfam